Molecule: non-coding RNA, 45 nt
Organism: Dracunculus medinensis (Guinea worm)
Lineage: Eukaryota; Metazoa; Nematoda; Chromadorea; Rhabditida; Dracunculidae
Source: Rfam
CAAAUGGUUUUUUUGAAAACCAAUUCCAGUUUCGAAAAAAAAUUU